This 499-nucleotide ribosomal RNA is filed under the name uncultured bacterium. RNAcentral describes it as "bacterial SSU rRNA". It matches the Rfam family "Bacterial small subunit ribosomal RNA", at positions 355 to 871 of the family's 1533-position model. The record is from RNAcentral.
UGGGGAAUCUUGGACAAUGGGGGCAACCCUGAUCCAGCCAUGCCGCGUGAGUGAUGAAGGCCUUAGGGUCGUAAAGCUCUUUCGCCUGUGAAGAUAAUGACGGUAGCAGGUAAAGAAACCCCGGCUAACUCCGUGCCAGCAGCCGCGGUAAUACGGAGGGGGUUAGCGUUGUUCGGAAUUACUGGGCGUAAAGCGCACGUAGGCGGACCAGAAAGUUGGGGGUGAAAUCCCGGGGGCUCAACCCCGGAACUGCCUCCAAAACUAUUGGUCUAGAGUUCGAGAGAGGUGAGUGGAAUUCCAAGUGUAGAGGUGAAAUUCGUAGAUAUUUGGAGGAACACCAGUGGCGAAGGCGGCUCACUGGCUCGAUACUGACGCUGAGGUGCGAAAGUGUGGGGAGCAAACAGGAUUAGAUACCCUGGUAGUCCACACCGUAAACGAUGAAUGCCAGUCGUCGGGUAGCAUGCUAUUCGGUGACACACCUAACGGAUUAAGCAUUCCG